This 446-nucleotide ribosomal RNA is filed under the name uncultured bacterium. Its description in RNAcentral is "bacterial SSU rRNA". It matches the Rfam family "Bacterial small subunit ribosomal RNA", at positions 335 to 801 of the family's 1533-position model. The record is from RNAcentral.
ACUCCUACGGGAGGCAGCAGUGGGGAAUUUUGCACAAUGGGGGAAACCCUGAUGCAGCGACGCCGCGUGAUUUAGAAGGCCUUCGGGUUGUAAAAAUCUUUUGUAUAGGAAGAAAAUGACAGUACUAUACGAAUAAGGUCCGGCUAAUUACGUGCCAGCAGCCGCGGUAAUACGUAAGGACCGAGCGUUGUCCGGAAUCAUUGGGCGUAAAGGGUACGUAGGCGGGUCAUUAAGUUAGAAGUCAAAGGCUAUAGCUCAACUAUAGUAAGCUUCUAAAACUGGAGACCUUGAGUAAUGGAAGGGAAAGUGGAAUUCCUAGUGUAGCGGUGGAAUGCGCAGAUAUUAGGAGGAAUACCGGUGGCGAAGGCGACUUUCUGGCCAUUAACUGACGCUGAGGUACGAAAGCGUGGGUAGCAAACAGGAUUAGAUACCCUGGUAGCUACGAG